UGCAAGUCGAACGCGUUGGCCCAAUUGAUUGAUGGUGCUUGCACCUGAUUGAUUUUGGUCGCCAACGAGUGGCGGACGGGUGAGUAACACGUAGGUAACCUGCCCAGAAGCGGGGGACAACAUUUGGAAACAGAUGCUAAUACCGCAUAACAGCGUUGUUCGCAUGAACAACGCUUAAAAGAUGGCUUCUCGCUAUCACUUCUGGAUGGACCUGCGGUGCAUUAGCUUGUUGGUGGGGUAAUGGCCUACCAAGGCGAUGAUGCAUAGCCGAGUUGAGAGACUGAUCGGCCACAAUGGGACUGAGACACGGCCCAUACUCCUACGGGAGGCAGCAGUAGGGAAUCUUCCACAAUGGGCGCAAGCCUGAUGGAGCAACACCGCGUGAGUGAAGAAGGGUUUCGGCUCGUAAAGCUCUGUUGUUAAAGAAGAACACGUAUGAGAGUAACUGUUCAUACGUUGACGGUAUUUAACCAGAAAGUCACGGCUAACUACGUGCCAGCAGCCGCGGUAAUACGUAGGUGGCAAGCGUUAUCCGGAUUUAUUGGGCGUAAAGAGAGUGCAGGCGGUUUUCUAAGUCUGAUGUGAAAGCCUUCGGCUUAACCGGAGAAGUGCAUCGGAAACUGGAUAACUUGAGUGCAGAAGAGGGUAGUGGAACUCCAUGUGUAGCGGUGGAAUGCGUAGAUAUAUGGAAGAACACCAGUGGCGAAGGCGGCUACCUGGUCUGCAACUGACGCUGAGACUCGAAAGCAUGGGUAGCGAACAGGAUUAGAUACCCUGGUAGUCCAUGCCGUAAACGAUGAGUGCUAGGUGUUGGAGGGUUUCCGCCCUUCAGUGCCGGAGCUAACGCAUUAAGCACUCCGCCUGGGGAGUACGACCGCAAGGUUGAAACUCAAAGGAAUUGACGGGGGCCCGCACAAGCGGUGGAGCAUGUGGUUUAAUUCGAAGCUACGCGAAGAACCUUACCAGGUCUUGACAUCUUGCGCCAACCCUAGAGAUAGGGCGUUUCCUUCGGGAACGCAAUGACAGGUGGUGCAUGGUCGUCGUCAGCUCGUGUCGUGAGAUGUUGGGUUAAGUCCCGCAACGAGCGCAACCCUUGUUACUAGUUGCCAGCAUUAAGUUGGGCACUCUAGUGAGACUGCCGGUGACAAACCGGAGGAAGGUGGGGACGACGUCAGAUCAUCAUGCCCCUUAUGACCUGGGCUACACACGUGCUACAAUGGACGGUACAACGAGUCGCGAACUCGCGAGGGCAAGCAAAUCUCUUAAAACCGUUCUCAGUUCGGACUGCAGGCUGCAACUCGCCUGCACGAAGUCGGAAUCGCUAGUAAUCGCGGAUCAGCAUGCCGCGGUGAAUACGUUCCCGGGCCUUGUACACACCGCCCGUCACACCAUGAGAGUUUGUAACACCCAAAGUCGGUGGGGUAACCUUUUAGGAGCCAGCCGCCUA
Molecule: ribosomal RNA, 1447 nt
Filed under: Limosilactobacillus fermentum
Lineage: Bacteria; Bacillati; Bacillota; Bacilli; Lactobacillales; Lactobacillaceae
Description: bacterial SSU rRNA
Rfam family: Bacterial small subunit ribosomal RNA
Source: RNAcentral